Molecule: ribosomal RNA, 495 nt
Filed under: uncultured bacterium
Lineage: Bacteria
Description: partial 16S ribosomal RNA
Rfam family: Bacterial small subunit ribosomal RNA
Source: RNAcentral
GACGAACGCUGGCGGCGUGCCUAAUACAUGCAAGUAGAACGCUGAAGGAGGAGCUUGCUUCUCCGGAUGAGUUGCGAACGGGUGAGUAACGCGUAGGUAACCUGCCUGGUAGCGGGGGAUAACUAUUGGAAACGAUAGCUAAUACCGCAUAAGAGUAGAUGUCGCAUGACAUUUGCUUAAAAGGUGCACCUGCACCACUACCAGAUGGACCUGCGUUGUAUUAGCUAGUUGGUGAGGUAACGGCUCACCAAGGCAACGAUACAUAGCCGACCUGAGAGGGUGAACGGCCACACUGGGACUGGGACACGGCCCAGACUCCUACGGGAGGCAGCAGUAGGGAAUCUUCGGCAAUGGACGGAAGUCUGACCGAGCAACGCCGCGUGGGUGAAGAAGGUUUUCGGGUCGUAAAGCUCUGUUUUAAGAGAAGAACGAGUGUGAGGGUGGAAAGUUCACACUGUGACGGUAUCUUACCAGAAAGGGACGGCUAACUACGUG